RNAcentral lists this long non-coding RNA (1260 nucleotides) under Homo sapiens (human). RNAcentral's name for it is "HSALNT0382133". The record is from RNAcentral. Lineage: Eukaryota; Metazoa; Chordata; Mammalia; Primates; Hominidae.
UCAGGUGAUCAACCUGCCUCAGCCUCCCAAAGUGCUGGGAUUACAGGCGUGAGCCACCGCACCUGGCCUAGGGGUACCUUUAAUAAAUCUUUUUGGGGGUGCAAUUCAGCCCUCAAGACCAGGAUCCAAAUCAGGAUACCACCUUAAAUUUAACAUAAUGCCCUUAAAAAUGAAAAAGGUCAGAACCAAGCUCUAUCCACAGAAUCAAAUCAAAAUUUCACUUUGGCAUCCUUCUUUUGCUCACCCUUCACCCUGUUCCCCACCCGUUGUAUGUGCACUCAGCUAGCUCUAUGUUUCCUCUGUACAUCCUUCCUGCUUGAAUUUGAUAGUCUCAAUUUUUCAGUCAAGUUAGUUCUUAACAAUUUUGAGGUCAUGGGACCACUCUGAGAAUCUAAUAGAAGCUAUGGAGUCUCUGAGAACACUGCACAGAUAAAAACAAUUUAGCAUCCAAUUUCAGAGCAGUCAGAUACUAAUCCACUUCCCUCCUCCCCAAGGGCCUCUAAGUAUAGAACCACCUUGCACAGUUUGGCUUCCCCAGGCAUUGAUUCUGCAAUAAAAUCAUCACAACUCACUAUCAAUCCCUCUUCCAAGGCAAUUUCUCCAGAUCCUGCACAUUGUGCAGUGCUCCAUACUCUGGGUCUUGGCCAACCUUAGCUGUCCAGCCACUGCCUCGGGCUGAAGCUGAGAAGGGCUGGCUGGGCAGAGCUCUUCCACUGGGCCCUGAAGGCAGCUGGACUCCCUCUCCAGCCAACUUGGCUGUGAGCAUAGAACCCCCACAAAUUCUGCUUGACCCAACACCUCUUCUGAGCCCACUUUCUCCAGGGGUGGGUAGAAAUAUCUCAGAAUGUUAAAACUUCUCAGUCCGCAAGCCAUGUUAUCAUCUGGAUUUCAACAAAGAAAAGUGACUCCAGCAUGCAGAGUGGGAUCAACUUGCUCUACCAACUCUGGAUCUUCUGUCAUCUGGAAAUGACGGGGAUCUUGUACUCACGGGCAAUGCCUGCCUACUAUUAUCUUUGGAAUCAGCAUGUGAGGCCCCCUACAGUGCCUCAUCCAUCUGACUCAUGCCGAAGAUGGUCCAGGCGUCACCUGAGCUAUGCUACCUUUGGUAAAGACCCAUGCAGGCUUCUCUUUGCCCUGGAGUCACACUUUCUCCCCUAUUGACACCCCAGCCAGGAUCACACCAAUACCUCCAACAUCAAUCAGAAGUCAACAAGAAUGGAAAACAGACUAAAGUAACUUCUAUGGACAGGGCUGGGUCUA